CCUACGGGUGGCAGCAGUGGGGAAUAUUGCGCAAUGGGGGCAACCCUGAUGCAGCAACGCCGCGUGAGCGAUGAAGGCCUUCGGGUCGUAAAGCUCUGUCCUAAGGGAAGAAUACUGACGGUACCUUAGGAGGAAGCCCCGGCUAACUACGUGCCAGCAGCCGCGGUAAUACGUAGGGGGCGAGCGUUAUCCGGAAUGACUGGGCGUAAAGGGUGCGUAGGCGGCCCUUCAAGUCAGGGGUGAAAGCCUACGGCUCAACCGUAGUCAGCCGUUGAAACUGUAGGGCUUGAGUGCAGGAGAGGAGAGCGGAAUUCCUAGUGUAGCGGUGAAAUGCGUAGAUAUUAGGAGGAACACCAGUGGCGAAGGCGGCUCUCUGGACUGUAACUGACGCUGAGGCACGAAAGCGUGGGGAGCGAACAGGAUUAGAUACCCUAGUAGUC
This 440-nucleotide ribosomal RNA is filed under the name uncultured bacterium. Its description in RNAcentral is "bacterial SSU rRNA". It matches the Rfam family "Bacterial small subunit ribosomal RNA", at positions 338 to 795 of the family's 1533-position model. The record is from RNAcentral.